GAGGAACGCUGGCGGCGUGCCUAAUACAUGCAAGUCGAGCGAACAGAUGAGGAGCUUGCUCCUCUGACGUUAGCGGCGGACGGGUGAGUAACACGUGGAUAACCUACCUAUAAGACUGGGAUAACUUCGGGAAACCGGAGCUAAUACCGGAUAAUAUAUUGAACCGCAUGGUUCAAUAGUGAAAGACGGUUUUGCUGUCACUUAUAGAUGGAUCCGCGCCGCAUUAGCUAGUUGGUAAGGUAACGGCUUACCAAGGCAACGAUGCGUAGCCGACCUGAGAGGGUGAUCGGCCACACUGGAACUGAGGCACGGUCCAGACUCCUACGGGAGGCAGCAGUAGGGAAUCUUCCGCAAUGGGCGAAAGCCUGACGGAGCAACGCCGCGUGAGUGAUGAAGGUCUUCGGAUCGUAAAACUCUGUUAUUAGGGAAGAACAAAUGUGUAAGUAACUAUGCACGUCUUGACGGUACCUAAUCAGAAAGCCACGGCUAACUACGUG
RNAcentral lists this ribosomal RNA (497 nucleotides) under uncultured bacterium. RNAcentral describes it as "partial 16S ribosomal RNA". It matches the Rfam family "Bacterial small subunit ribosomal RNA", at positions 28 to 507 of the family's 1533-position model. The record is from RNAcentral.